GAGUUCGCGGGAGAGUAAGUUAUUGCCAGGGUUUUUAUUUUUAUACUUUAAACUUUGAUUUUAUUUUUAUGUUUUUUAAAUAUUGGUGUUUUUGAAUGUGUUGUUUAAAUAACAUAAAAAAUAAAAUAUAUAUUGACAUGUAUUAAACAAAGAUAUAUAUUAUUUUAUGUUGUAUAAAUAAAUUGGCAAAAUAGAGAUGGAAGAUAAAAAUAUGGUCAAAGUAAUAAGAGUCUAUGGUGAAUGCC
RNAcentral lists this unclassified non-coding RNA (245 nucleotides) under Borreliella burgdorferi (Lyme disease spirochete). RNAcentral describes it as "partial 5S-23S ribosomal RNA intergenic spacer". Lineage: Bacteria; Pseudomonadati; Spirochaetota; Spirochaetia; Spirochaetales; Borreliaceae. The record is from RNAcentral.